Long non-coding RNA from Mustela erminea (ermine), 282 nucleotides. RefSeq lists it as uncharacterized. The record is from RefSeq and is a predicted model, not a curated record. The transcript is spliced from 4 exons. Lineage: Eukaryota; Metazoa; Chordata; Mammalia; Carnivora; Mustelidae.
UUUCCUUUUAGACUCUACUUCCUUAUGUUGUUACUUAGAAAGUACCACUAGGCGAAAGUCCAAUUGAGGACUCCAUGAUAAAACAGCUGUCCAGGAACCAGGAAACAGGAUCCACCAGAAACUAAGCCGACCAGCGCCUUGAUCAUGUACUUCCCAGCCUCCACAAAUGUAAAUUGCAUCAUUCCAUUUCUUGAAUUGGCUAGUGAUACAACGUAUGAUCCUCUCUCCUGAUGCUGGGAGUGGCAGCAGGCCUCAGCUUGUAACCAGCUAUGAGAUCACCAG